RNAcentral lists this ribosomal RNA (1404 nucleotides) under Salmonella enterica subsp. enterica serovar Cerro str. CFSAN001681. RNAcentral's name for it is "bacterial LSU rRNA". It matches the Rfam family "Bacterial large subunit ribosomal RNA", at positions 1556 to 2925 of the family's 2925-position model. The record is from RNAcentral. Lineage: Bacteria; Pseudomonadati; Pseudomonadota; Gammaproteobacteria; Enterobacterales; Enterobacteriaceae.
CUGAGGCGUGAUGACGAGGCACUACGGUGCUGAAGCAACAAAUGCCCUGCUUCCAGGAAAAGCCUCUAAGCAUCAGGUAACAUCAAAUCGUACCCCAAACCGACACAGGUGGUCAGGUAGAGAAUACCAAGGCGCUUGAGAGAACUCGGGUGAAGGAACUAGGCAAAAUGGUGCCGUAACUUCGGGAGAAGGCACGCUGACACGUAGGUGAAGUGAUUUACUCAUGGAGCUGAAGUCAGUCGAAGAUACCAGCUGGCUGCAACUGUUUAUUAAAAACACAGCACUGUGCAAACACGAAAGUGGACGUAUACGGUGUGACGCCUGCCCGGUGCCGGAAGGUUAAUUGAUGGGGUCAGCGCAAGCGAAGCUCCUGAUCGAAGCCCCGGUAAACGGCGGCCGUAACUAUAACGGUCCUAAGGUAGCGAAAUUCCUUGUCGGGUAAGUUCCGACCUGCACGAAUGGCGUAAUGAUGGCCAGGCUGUCUCCACCCGAGACUCAGUGAAAUUGAACUCGCUGUGAAGAUGCAGUGUACCCGCGGCAAGACGGAAAGACCCCGUGAACCUUUACUAUAGCUUGACACUGAACAUUGAGCCUUGAUGUGUAGGAUAGGUGGGAGGCUUUGAAGUGUGGACGCCAGUCUGCAUGGAGCCGACCUUGAAAUACCACCCUUUAAUGUUUGAUGUUCUAACGUGGACCCGUGAUCCGGGUUGCGGACAGUGUCUGGUGGGUAGUUUGACUGGGGCGGUCUCCUCCUAAAGAGUAACGGAGGAGCACGAAGGUUGGCUAAUCCUGGUCGGACAUCAGGAGGUUAGUGCAAUGGCAUAAGCCAGCUUGACUGCGAGCGUGACGGCGCGAGCAGGUGCGAAAGCAGGUCAUAGUGAUCCGGUGGUUCUGAAUGGAAGGGCCAUCGCUCAACGGAUAAAAGGUACUCCGGGGAUAACAGGCUGAUACCGCCCAAGAGUUCAUAUCGACGGCGGUGUUUGGCACCUCGAUGUCGGCUCAUCACAUCCUGGGGCUGAAGUAGGUCCCAAGGGUAUGGCUGUUCGCCAUUUAAAGUGGUACGCGAGCUGGGUUUAGAACGUCGUGAGACAGUUCGGUCCCUAUCUGCCGUGGGCGCUGGAGAACUGAGGGGGGCUGCUCCUAGUACGAGAGGACCGGAGUGGACGCAUCACUGGUGUUCGGGUUGUCAUGCCAAUGGCACUGCCCGGUAGCUAAAUGCGGAAGAGAUAAGUGCUGAAAGCAUCUAAGCACGAAACUUGCCCCGAGAUGAGUUCUCCCUGAGACUUUAGUCUCCUGAAGGAACGUUGAAGACGACGACGUUGAUAGGCCGGGUGUGUAAGCGCAGCGAUGCGUUGAGCUAACCGGUACUAAUGAACCGUGAGGCUUAACCUUACAACGCCGAAG